GAUGAACGCUGGCGGCGCGCCUAACACAUGCAAGUCGAACGGCACCCCUCUCCGGAGGGAAGCGAGUGGCGAACGGCUGAGUAACACGUGGAGAACCUGCCCCCUCCCCCGGGAUAGCCGCCCGAAAGGACGGGUAAUACCGGAUACCCCGGGGUGCCGCAUGGCAUCCCGGCUAAAGCCCCGACGGGAGGGGAUGGCUCCGCGGCCCAUCAGGUAGACGGCGGGGUGACGGCCCACCGUGCCGACAACGGGUAGCCGGGUUGAGAGACCGACCGGCCAGAUUGGGACUGAGACACGGCCCAGACUCCUACGGGAGGCAGCAGUGGGGAAUCUUGCGCAAUGGGGGGAACCCUGACGCAGCGACGCCGCGUGCGGGACGGAGGCCUUCGGGUCGUAAACCGCUUUCAGCAGGGAAGAGUCAAGACU
Molecule: ribosomal RNA, 426 nt
Filed under: uncultured bacterium
Lineage: Bacteria
Description: bacterial SSU rRNA
Rfam family: Bacterial small subunit ribosomal RNA
Source: RNAcentral